This is a non-coding RNA of Trichonephila inaurata madagascariensis, 73 nucleotides long. NCBI's taxonomy places the organism in Eukaryota, Metazoa, Arthropoda, Arachnida, Araneae, Nephilidae. The record is from the annotation of a GenBank genome assembly.
GUCCUAGUAGCGCAAUGGAUAGCGCGUUGGACUUCUAAUCCAAAGGUCGUAGGUUCAAAUUCUGCCUGGAAUU